RNAcentral lists this unclassified non-coding RNA (235 nucleotides) under Hevea brasiliensis (rubber tree). Lineage: Eukaryota; Viridiplantae; Streptophyta; Magnoliopsida; Malpighiales; Euphorbiaceae. The record is from RNAcentral.
GUUUUUACCUUUCAUUGUGACUGCAACAUAAAGAUUUUGUUAGAAUCCCACAACACUCUCAUAACACCAAUUUUGAUUUCUGCCUCAUGAAAUGAGGUUCCUGUGGCAUCAGAUGGGUAUGGCAGCACUGUAUUUUUAUCAGCCUUCAAUUCAUCAACAUCAACAACAAAUGUUUCCAGUUCCUCCAGGUUUCUUCCAUACCAUUUACCAUGCACCUGAUGAACUUUUCCUCUCG